AACGCACAUUGCGCCCGCUGGUAUUCCAGCGGGCAUGCCCGUUCGAGCGUCAUUUUAAUCCCUUCCCGGGAGACUCUUCUAUUCUGUAGUGGAGUGUCCACGGGGCGUUGGCACUGGGCGCCUUGUUUUUUUAGGCGGCCGGAGCUGAAAUGAAGCGGCGGACUCGCGGCGGCCCCUAGCGCAGUAGAACAACCCUUCUCGCUUAGGAGAGCUGUAGCGGUGGACCACAGCCCUUACAUGCUUUUUUUUUUUUUUAAAAAAAAAAGCUACAUCUAAAAACUUGACCUCGGAUCGGGUAGGACUACCCGCUGAACUUAA
Molecule: unclassified non-coding RNA, 318 nt
Filed under: uncultured Nemania
Lineage: Eukaryota; Fungi; Ascomycota; Sordariomycetes; Xylariales; Xylariaceae
Description: partial contains 5.8S ribosomal RNA, internal transcribed spacer 2, and large subunit ribosomal RNA
Source: RNAcentral